Pelobates cultripes (western spadefoot toad) is the source of this 239-nucleotide non-coding RNA. NCBI's taxonomy places the organism in Eukaryota, Metazoa, Chordata, Amphibia, Anura, Pelobatidae. The record is from the annotation of a GenBank genome assembly.
GGUACUUGCAAUCGCAAAGAAUUGCAGUCUCUACUUGGGUCACUGAACUUUGCCAUGCGCAUUAUACCUCAAGGCCGAGCUUUCAUCUCACGGCUCCUAACCAUGUUCCCACUGUUUAGACAUGAUGCACACAGGUUACCACUGGAUACCCAAGCCACGGCAGACCUACUUAUGUGGAGAAACUUUUUGACCACCUGGAAUGGGAAAAGCAUGUUUCUCCCUAAAUUGUCUGACUCCUC